This 72-nucleotide transfer RNA is filed under the name Camelus dromedarius (Arabian camel). It matches the Rfam family "tRNA". Rfam says of the family: Transfer RNA (tRNA) molecules are approximately 80 nucleotides in length. Lineage: Eukaryota; Metazoa; Chordata; Mammalia; Artiodactyla; Camelidae. The record is from Rfam by way of RNAcentral. RNAcentral also lists the same sequence under 1 other name.
GUGGGUAUAGCUCAGUGGCAGAGUGCACGCUUAGCAUGCACGAGGUCCUGGGUUCAAUCCCCAGUACUUACA